RNAcentral lists this ribosomal RNA (329 nucleotides) under uncultured eukaryote. RNAcentral's name for it is "partial 18S ribosomal RNA". It matches the Rfam family "Eukaryotic small subunit ribosomal RNA", at positions 1470 to 1796 of the family's 1831-position model. The record is from RNAcentral.
CCCUUAGAUGUCCUGGGCCGCACGCGCGCUACACUGAGUGUCUGAGAUACGAGUCUGCCUGGUCCGGCAAGGUCUAGGUAAUCGCUAAAAGACACAUCAUGCUUGGGAUAGAUUAUUGCAAAUAUUAAUCUUGAACGAGGAAUUCCUAGUAAGCGCAAGUCAACAGCUUGCGUUGAUUACGUCCCUGCCCUUUGUACACACCGCCCGUCGCUACUACUGAUUGGAUUUUUAAGCGAGGUUCUCGAACUGCUAGCGACUUAGCUUCGGUGAGGUCGCAGUGUGGGAAGUGAACCUAGCUUUGGUGUCUAGAGGAAGUAAAAGUCGUAACA